This is a long non-coding RNA of Heteronotia binoei (common prickly gecko), 298 nucleotides long. RefSeq lists it as uncharacterized. NCBI's taxonomy places the organism in Eukaryota, Metazoa, Chordata, Lepidosauria, Squamata, Gekkonidae. The transcript is spliced from 2 exons. The record is from RefSeq and is a predicted model, not a curated record.
AUACCUAAUAGUGCCUCUGUCUACAAGGAGCUGCUGGAUGAAUGCAAAUGUGUGUACAAAUUCUGUUUUUUUUUGUUUUGUCUUUUAAUUCCUAGGGUGAGCAGGGACAGGUUUACCUCAAGUUUGCAUGCCUUCAAACAUAGCAUUUUGUUGUUAAUUUUUUCCAGGUCUUACAGAAAAAUAAGUGCACUUAUCUCCACCACCAUGAUACUUAAAUCACAAGUGUUCAAAACAAGACACACAAAAAAUUGUUCUGCUGGAUUAUGUGCAAUAAUAAAACAUUAUUUUGCUCACAUGA